GCCGGGGUGCCUGAGUCAGGUCUAAAGGGUCGGACUCGAGAUCCGAUGCCCCAUUCGGGGCGCCCGGGUUCAAAUCCCGGCCCCGGCG
Molecule: transfer RNA, 88 nt
Filed under: Thermoprotei archaeon
Lineage: Archaea; Thermoproteati; Thermoproteota; Thermoprotei
Also listed under: 1 other name
Description: tRNA-Ser
Rfam family: tRNA
About the family: Transfer RNA (tRNA) molecules are approximately 80 nucleotides in length. Their secondary structure includes four short double-helical elements and three loops (D, anti-codon, and T loops). Further hydrogen bonds mediate the characteristic L-shaped molecular structure. tRNAs have two regions of fundamental functional importance: the anti-codon, which is responsible for specific mRNA codon recognition, and the 3' end, to which the tRNAs corresponding amino acid is attached (by aminoacyl-tRNA synthetases). tRNAs cope with the degeneracy of the genetic code in two manners: having more than one tRNA (with a specific anti-codon) for a particular amino acid; and 'wobble' base-pairing, i.e. permitting non-standard base-pairing at the 3rd anti-codon position.
Source: RNAcentral